RNAcentral lists this unclassified non-coding RNA (200 nucleotides) under soil metagenome. Its description in RNAcentral is "partial contains internal transcribed spacer 2 and large subunit ribosomal RNA". The record is from RNAcentral.
UCUGUUCGAGCGUCAUUACAACCCUCAAGCUCUAGCUUGGUAUUGGAUGUCACUGCAUGUGGUGCAUCUUAAAAGCAUUGGCGGCAGCAUUUAGCUUCUAGCAUAGUAAAUUUCUUGCUCUGGAGCUUGGAUGUCUGCCUGCCAGAACCCAUAUUUCAAAGGUUGACCUCGGAUCAGGUAGGGAUACCCGCUGAACUUAA